UUUAAAGAGCAGAUCACACAGGCACUCCUCUCAGUUGGCAGCAGGAUCAGGGAAAUUCUGGAAUUUGAAAUGUUGGAAAUUUCUUGGCUUUGAUGGGAUUUUGCAUUUGCAUCAGGGGAACCCCUGCCUCUCUGAACCAUUGUUAUUUAAAAUCAAAGCGAAGCAAAUCAGAAGGCAUUUACGGAGUAACAGAGGUGAUGUUUCAGGAUGAAGAUAAAAAGCAUUGUGAUGAAGAGGGAGAAGCUGGAAGCUACAUGUGAUACUUGAAAACAUAACCAGGAGAUAAUGAGAACUCAGAUGCUGGAGAUUCAAAGUGAAUAAAGAGAGGAGCUGGAAAAAAGCACAGCAGGUCAGGCAACACCAGAGGAGAAGGGGAGUCAACGUUUCAGAUUGGAACCUUUCAUCAGGACAAGCCUUGAACACAUAGCCAUACUGGCGGAGAGUGCAAUACCCAACCAUAGAUUUAUCACCUCCUGUCUCAAUCCAAUCCUUCUCUUAUUUGCACAGGUGCUCUGAAGAAUCAAACAACCCAUGACUCUCAUCAGUAUUUUAUUUGCUCAUGAUGGGUAGGGUGGAGCGUUAUUGACAGCCCACAUUGUUAUCCUUCCCAUGUACUGAGGUGAUGAUGAACUGAUCACAUCGAUGGUGCAGCUAUUGUCUUUCUAAGUAUGUAGCUUCAGAAGGCCUCAAAGGUGUCCUGAUGUGAAAUGAGAACUAUGUAUGGAGAUAUCAGAUAGAGUGGCUGUUCACCUGCUUGAAGAAUGGACUGUCAGCAUUCACACUGUUGUCCUUCUUUUUCCCAAUGGCAAACUGAGACUUACCUGAUUCAUUACAUGAAUGUAUUUAAGUGUGUGAUCUAUGUGUAGCGUAAAGGGUUAAUAUAAAUGAUGAUGGAAACAUUGCUAAAGAUAAUAGUCUGCACAGAUGGCUGAGGCAGAAGCAUCAAUCAGUACCUGGGCAGACACAGUUCUAACCCAGAAUUCAGAA
Non-coding RNA from Chiloscyllium plagiosum (whitespotted bambooshark), 987 nucleotides. The record is from RefSeq and is a predicted model, not a curated record. Lineage: Eukaryota; Metazoa; Chordata; Chondrichthyes; Orectolobiformes; Hemiscylliidae.